Regulatory RNA element from Halobacillus sp. BAB-2008, 110 nucleotides. It matches the Rfam family "PyrR binding site". Rfam says of the family: This family represents the PyrR binding site and terminator structure. This RNA structure is found upstream of a variety of genes involved in pyrimidine biosynthesis and transport. The alignment also includes a portion of the antiterminator structure. Lineage: Bacteria; Bacillati; Bacillota; Bacilli; Caryophanales; Bacillaceae. The record is from Rfam.
CGGUCCUUUAAAGGAAGUCCCGUGAGGCUUCAAAGGUUCGUAUCGAUGAGCGUGUAUCGUUGUACACGUCUACCUCUUUGCGUACCUAGGGACGCAAAGGGGUUUUUUUU